Molecule: ribosomal RNA, 253 nt
Filed under: uncultured bacterium
Lineage: Bacteria
Description: partial 16S ribosomal RNA
Rfam family: Bacterial small subunit ribosomal RNA
Source: RNAcentral
UACGAAGGGGGCUAGCGUUGUUCGGAAUUACUGGGCGUAAAGCGCACGUAGGCGGAUUUGUAAGUCAGGGGUGAAAUCCCGGGGCUCAACCCCGGAACUGCCUUUGAUACUGCGAGUCUUGAGGUCGAGAGAGGUGAGUGGAAUUCCGAGUGUAGAGGUGAAAUUCGUAGAUAUUCGGAGGAACACCAGUGGCGAAGGCGGCUCACUGGCUCGAUACUGACGCUGAGGUGCGAAAGCGUGGGGAGCAAACAGG